Molecule: non-coding RNA, 576 nt
Organism: Paramuricea clavata
Lineage: Eukaryota; Metazoa; Cnidaria; Anthozoa; Malacalcyonacea; Plexauridae
Source: the annotation of a GenBank genome assembly
UUCAUGAACUGGCAAACUCAUAAAAUUUUAUGUAUGUUGCUUAUACGCAAUCAGAUUAUUGUUGAUGAAAUUCUAAAAUUGAGUACUAAUAAUUUACCUUUCCAAAAGGCGAAUCUUUAGUUCUAACAACGGAGGGAAACACAUUUCCUUCUCGCGAGGUCGAGCUAGUGUUCGAUGAAUCUGAAUUCAUUCUUUCUGCGUGAUUAGCAUUCGAUCCGAACGUUUCGCAAUCCAUGAUAUAUGGCUGAUUCUCUACUUUUGUGUGCAAAUUCGCGGAAAAUAGUUGGAAAUGAAAGCCAAUUUAACAAUAUAUCUUCUAUGUUACUUUUUCACUUUCAAAAUGCAGCACAUUUGCGAGUGCUUCAGACCGUCAUCGAAUUUUCUGGGAAACAAAAACGGAAAAACAUGUUUGCCUGCGAUCGGGUGCUUCGAAGUACGCGGGCUGUGGAAUUUAUCCACUGAGCUUUGGAAUUUAUCCCAUGGGCCAGUUGUUCAAAGGUGGGUUAGCCAGUGGCGUAACGGAGGAAGAGGGGGCCCUUAGGCAUAUUUGGUGUGGGGGCCCCUGUUGGAAUGUUG